Molecule: long non-coding RNA, 1683 nt
Organism: Chenopodium quinoa (quinoa)
Lineage: Eukaryota; Viridiplantae; Streptophyta; Magnoliopsida; Caryophyllales; Amaranthaceae
Exons: 8
Source: RefSeq, a predicted model, not a curated record
CUCCCUUUGUUUUACAAAGUUGUUGGUUUUAAAUAACAAAAGGAAACAACUUAAAAAAAAAAUACUACACUACACAACCAGCAGUCCACCACUUCUUCACUUCUCUUUCCCUCUUUCUCCGGCAGCCCUGAAGACCCCAACCAUCCAACCACCCCACCGCCUCCCCUAGCCGCCCUUCCGCCACCCUUCUGCUCAUCCCCGACCACCUCUAAACCACAUCGUUGAAGCACUCAGCUGCCCCUCCCCCAUCGUUGAAGCACUCAGUUGCCCCUCCCCCAUCGUCGAAGCACUCAGCUGCCCCUUCCCCCACCCUCGAAACCCCCGGUCGCUAGGUUUUGAGGGUGGGGGGAGGGGCGGUCGGUUGUUGUAAGGGGAGGGGGAGGGUUUUUUAGUGUUAUGUGUGGGUGAGGGGGGGUUUUUCGGGGAGGGGAGACAUUUUCAGGGUGAGGGGAGGGGCGGCAAAGGUCGGAGGAGGGGUGACGAACGUCUGUGAGGUGCGGCGGUUGUUCCGGUGGAGGGGAGGGUUUUUUUAAGGGUUAUGCGUGGGUGGGGGGAGGAGGAUUUUCGGGUGGGAGGAUGGGCGGUGAAGGGCGGCAUAGGGCGGUGAGGGUUGGGGGAGGGCCGACGAGCAACUGGCGAGGUGCAUCCAGCUGAUGUGGGUAUGGUGGUGGACCCCUGGUGGUUGGGGAAAGGGAAUGGAAAAGGUAGGGGGGUGGGGAAUGACAAAAGAUGCAAAACAACCACUUACAAAGGAAAAGGAGGUAGCUAAAUCUUCUAAUGAAUGGUGGAAGGCUACCCUGAAGAUACUAAAAGAAGCCUCUAUAUCCAUUGAGCUUGAAAGUCACCCUACGAUCUAUCCGUGAUGGGAGAUUCCAGCCUAUCAACAAACUUCUAGCUCGGCAAUACAGAACAACUGUUAAUUACAUAUCCAAAAGAGCUUCCAAUGACUUCUAUGAGAAAUGGCGUCAAGAGUUUGGAGUGGAUGAUCUGUCUGAAGACUCAAUGCAAAGGGCAGCUCAAACAGGCAAAAGCUCUGUGCAUGACUUCCUCGAUGUGAAUGGGAGACCCCAGCUUAUAGUGCAGGCUUCAAAACAUUACACUGGAGCCCAUCUGAUGAUGCAUGCAUAAUGGGCUAAUUACAGAUGCGUGUUUCAGAUUGAGAAAGAUCUUAGCAAGAUCCCAGAAGGCCAAGAACAGAUAUUUGGGAUAAUCGACCUCAGGGGCUUUGGUACUGACAUUUUUGUUUGAUGUCUUCUACUAUUACUAUCCAAAGAUAUUAGGCCAAGUGCUCAUGGGGGAAGUGCCUUUUGUUUUAAACCUCUUUGGCAGCUGGCAAAGCCCCUCCUGAAAAAGCAUGCAUUGCUGGUUGCUCUUGUUAAUGGUAUUGCUAUAGGUGGACUAGAGGUGCAUCAUUGCCAAGAAAAAUCGGUUUUUGCCACUCCUGAAGUUGCUAUUGGGUUUCACACUAACUGCGGCUUCUAGUACAUACAUUACUUUAAAUGGAUUAUAGCUUUAAAUUAAGGUGAUGUUGUAAAGCAAGAUUUGAAAUGGGUGGAUUUGUUUGAUGUGGAAUUAUUUAUUUUAAGACUAUAAUUUGGAUUUUGACAAUCAAAAUUCAUACUACUCUAUUGCAUAAAUCAUACCUAUUUAGAGGGUUUAGAUUUUGAAGGUUGGUUUCUAAUA